Chiloscyllium plagiosum (whitespotted bambooshark) is the source of this 1034-nucleotide long non-coding RNA. RefSeq lists it as uncharacterized. The record is from RefSeq and is a predicted model, not a curated record. Lineage: Eukaryota; Metazoa; Chordata; Chondrichthyes; Orectolobiformes; Hemiscylliidae.
CAUAAGGAGCAUUCUCCCUCAGUCAAUAUGUAACAUGCCCUCCGGUAUAUACUGUACUGUGCAUGCUUAAAGUUGCAAUUCUAAUGAAUCUGGCGAGGGUAAGAAGAAAUGAAUACACCAUAUGUAUUUAUCUAUUUGAGGGAGGUUGCAGGUGAGAGGGAGAGUUGGCCUACGCCUGUUCUCUGACAAAUUGUCCAGCUUUCCGAACUCACCCUGGGCCCUUCCAUUAGGCAUUAAGCUGGUCUCCAAGUGAAUGGUGUGAGUGCAAUGACUCCCUGCCCGAGGUGAAAACCCCAAUAAGUGACUGUCCCCCACCUGCCCCCAGGGGCAGUAAAUGCCAGCCCCUGGUAAUGUGCCAAACACCUACCCAUUUCUCUUCUGGUGAGAUCAUGGCACCAACGCAAGGAUACCCGAGGGCUGGGAAAUUAAAUCUCGAGAAAACAAUUCAGUUUUGUCUCACGACAUUGGAUCCUCAAAUUGUUGAAUGUUUGCUUAUGUAAAUAUUGUGGGAGUAGCUUAUUGAUUUUGGAAGAAUUGUUUGAAUGUUCUGCCAGCUGUUGUAGCCCAUGUGUGGAGAGACAAAAUCACUGCAAUGUGAAAGUGCCUGUGCGGAGAAAAGGAAGCCGUUAGUGUUUGGCAUCAAGAUUUGUUCAUAAAGAGUCAUUCUGCUUCAUUUACUCUGGACUCAGUUGCAAAGCCUGGCAACCAUCGGGAAGACUUCCUCAUGAAGCAGAAAUGAGACAUGGGGAAAUGCCGAGAAUUUCUCUUCCUCCACACUUAAACCUUGCUCCAUUCAAUGCUCAGGCUUAUUCAUCUCCUUCUCCGACAUCAUUCCUGUCUUAAUUUGCUUUUUAUUGUACACAGUACCUAUUCAGUUUUCUUUCUCAAGACUUUUCCUUUUCACUCCAGAGACAUUGAAAACUCAUUAUGUACCAGAUCCUUCCCCACCCCCCGAAUCAUGCCUAAUUAAUGGUUGCUCAGUAAAAACUGAAAGAACUGUGGAUGCUGUAAAUCAGAAACAAAAACAGAAAAUU